Molecule: long non-coding RNA, 1449 nt
Filed under: Sorghum bicolor (sorghum)
Lineage: Eukaryota; Viridiplantae; Streptophyta; Magnoliopsida; Poales; Poaceae
Description: long non-coding RNA (SBIC_LNC006247)
Source: RNAcentral
CUACGCCGCAAGCCCCAGACAUAGACCCAGCCCUCUCUCGCUCUCAGGAAAUCCACUUCUCUCUCUCUCCUUCCACCAGCACUGAAGGGGAUGGCUGGAUCCGACAAAGGGGCGCACGACCCCUACCCGCACCCUGCAUAGGGCGGCGCACGGCUUGGGGUGGAGGCUCUUUGGCAGUGGAGAUGAAGCAGCCCGCCGGCAGGUUGUUGGCGUCCCGCGGUUCUGGGAGGAACGGAGGAAGCAGCCUCCUCCAUGCUUGACACAUCGUGUUGCUCCAAUCCUUGGGUUUGGCCUUCUUGAAUCUCGAUCCAUGGCCUCUCGACAAAGGUGUAUGGAUCUACGGUGGCUAGAGCAUUGGCUGCUGGAUCUUUGUCGCGAGGAGGUCAUGCGUUUCGACCUUAACUGACACCGGCCUAGCCGCCUAGGCGACGUGGUGGCCGUGCUCCCUGCCCGACGGGUUCCUAUCCAGGUUGGAGAGUAGUCCAGGUUGUUGCUGCAUCCUGCAGGGCGGUCCUGCCCAGUUACGGCCAUCAGGAGCUGGACUCCUGUGUUUGACGGAGCCGCCUGCUAUUGAAGCUCCGCACACCAACGAGGUUCUGCUCGAAAAGGUUAGAAACUUAUUUUGUUUUACACCAGUGCAAACGCUAUUCUUCACUUACAAAUGCUAUCCUUAAGUCUGAACCUUGUUAUUUUUAGGGUCUGAAAUUAUUUCUUCUGAAUUAGCAGCAGCUCAGUGAUGUUUCAGUUCUGAAUUUCUUUUGAAUCUGCAUACUUUAAUUGCAAUAGCAAAGCAGUACCCUGUUCAGAUCAACAAUUUCAGUUUCUCUCUGCAUAUUGUGCGGAUGUACUGAUAAUUGUAGGAAGGGUUUUAACAAAAAGUAGAUAUAGUGGAAUCCUUAGAUUAUACAUUGCUAAAUUAACGUGUACAGUUCUAGUUUGUUCAGUCUGGCACAAUUCUUUUUUAUUUGGCCUCAGUCGGGUCUAAUUAUAUUUCUUUAAUGCCUUAAUGUUGUACUAUACUAUUUCAGUUUCAAAAAGCCUCCGCUUGGGUUAGCAUUUUCGAAGGAUGUAUAACAGUGCAUAUUUUUUGCUUACUGAUUUUUUUGGUGGUUCAGGUGAAAACACUUCGGCAGUCCAUCGUGACAUCAAAUCUCCCAACAUGAAAAAUAAAGGAUACCUAGGAUAUCUCUAUCCGGCAGUCCACCAUGACAUCAAAUCUUCCAUCAUGAAAAAUAAAGGAUACCUAGGAUAUCUCUAUUUGUCAUUGAGAAUCAGUCACUGGAAUCUCUAUUUGUUGUUAGCUUGUGCCAUGGUAAACUGUAAGGUUGUAUGGACUUUAUAUGUUAACUCAUGUUGGAUGAAAGCUUAUGUAAUAUGAUGUUGGAUGAAAAUUCAUGUGAUAUGAUAUUUGAUGGAAAAAUAAUAUUUUAAUUUGAUAUGCUGCCACAA